Molecule: ribosomal RNA, 555 nt
Filed under: Gordonia terrae
Lineage: Bacteria; Bacillati; Actinomycetota; Actinomycetes; Mycobacteriales; Gordoniaceae
Description: bacterial SSU rRNA
Rfam family: Bacterial small subunit ribosomal RNA
Source: RNAcentral
GAGUGGCGACGGGUGAGUACACGUGGGUGAUCUGCCCUGCNCUCUGGGAUANGCCUGGGAAACUGGGUCUAAUACCGGAUAUGACCAACUGUCGCAUGGUGGUUGGUGGAAAGCUUUUGCGGUGUGGGAUGGGCCCGCGGCCUAUCAGCUUGUUGGUGGGGUAAUGGCCUACCAAGGCGACGACGGGUAGCCGACCUGAGAGGGUGAUCGGCCACACUGGGACUGAGACACGGCCCAGACUCCUACGGGAGGCAGCAGUGGGGAAUAUUGCACAAUGGGCGGAAGCCUGAUGCAGCGACGCCGCGUGAGGGAUGACGGCCUUCGGGUUGUAAACCUCUUUCACCAGGGACGAAGCGUGAGUGACGGUACCUGGAGAAGAAGCACCGGCCAACUACGUGCCAGCAGCCGCGGUAAUACGUANGGUGCGAGCGUUGUCCGGAAUUACUGGGCGUAAAGAGCUCGUANGCGGUUUGUCGCGUCGUCUGUGAAAUUCUGCAACUCAAUUGCAGGCGUGCAGGCGAUACGGGCAGACUUGAGUACUACAGGGGAGACUGG